RNAcentral lists this unclassified non-coding RNA (161 nucleotides) under uncultured Ascomycota. RNAcentral's name for it is "sequence contains ITS1". Lineage: Eukaryota; Fungi; Ascomycota. The record is from RNAcentral.
AUGAGAACGUGCCCUCCGGGGUAGAUCUCCCACCCUUUGUUUAUCAUACCUUUGUUGCUUUGGCAGGCCCGUCUCCGGACCGCCGGCUUCGGCUGGCCCGUGCCUGCCAGAGGACCCCAAACUCUGUUUGUUAGUGUCGUCUGAGUACUAUUUAAUAGUUA